CGCAUAUUAGCUCAAAUGGUAGAGCAAUGUGCAUUGCACAUAAGUGUAGGUUCAAAUCCUACAUAGGCUA
Non-coding RNA from Spinacia oleracea (spinach), 70 nucleotides. The record is from Rfam. NCBI's taxonomy places the organism in Eukaryota, Viridiplantae, Streptophyta, Magnoliopsida, Caryophyllales, Amaranthaceae.